UGCAAGUCGAACGCUGAAGCAUCUUCGGGUGUGGAUGAGUGGCGAACGGGUGAGUAACACGUGGGUAAUCUGCCCUGCACUCUGGGAUAAGCCUUGGAAACGGGGUCUAAUACCGGAUAUGACAUGUCAUCGCAUGGUGGUGUGUGGAAAGUUCCGGCGGUGCAGGAUGAGCCCGCGGCCUAUCAGCUUGUUGGUGGGGUGAUGGCCUACCAAGGCGACGACGGGUAGCCGGCCUGAGAGGGUGACCGGCCACACUGGGACUGAGACACGGCCCAGACUCCUACGGGAGGCAGCAGUGGGGAAUCUUGCGCAAUGGGCGAAAGCCUGACGCAGCAACGCCGCGUGGGGGAUGACGGCCUUCGGGUUGUAAACCUCUUUCGACAUCGACGAAGCCUUCGGGUGACGGUAGGUGUAGAAGAAGCACCGGCUAACUACGUGCCAGCAGCCGCGGUAAUACGUAGGGUGCGAGCGUUGUCCGGAUUUAUUGGGCGUAAAGAGCUCGUAGGCGGUUUGUCGCGUCGGCCGUGAAAACCUGCAGCUUAACUGUGGGCUUGCGGUCGAUACGGGCAGACUUGAGUUCGGUAGGGGAGACUGGAAUUCCUGGUGUAGCGGUGAAAUGCGCAGAUAUCAGGAGGAACACCGGUGGCGAAGGCGGGUCUCUGGGCCGAUACUGACGCUGAGGAGCGAAAGCGUGGGGAGCGAACAGGAUUAGAUACCCUGGUAGUCCACGCCGUAAACGUUGGCGCUA
This 748-nucleotide ribosomal RNA is filed under the name Saccharopolyspora sp. 3SM5_03. RNAcentral's name for it is "bacterial SSU rRNA". It matches the Rfam family "Bacterial small subunit ribosomal RNA", at positions 56 to 818 of the family's 1533-position model. The record is from RNAcentral. Lineage: Bacteria; Bacillati; Actinomycetota; Actinomycetes; Pseudonocardiales; Pseudonocardiaceae.